GCUCUCAAGCUUUUGGUUUUCUCAUUCCCCUCUAAAGAAGCAUAAGGAAAACCAUUUGGGCUCUAACAUCUGGAAGAUCAUCACACCCUCAUACCUUCGAGAUUCCGGAAAUGGCUCAACAAGGUAUGUUCUUCAUCUUCGCCAUGAACUCAUUUGGGGUUUCUUCGGUCUGGUCCAUGGUUGUUCCAUUUGGGUUUAUGUAUGGUCAUAAACAUUAGGUUAUGGGAACAAAGACAUGGUCAUAAGGACUUUCGCGUUUAAUCUAUGGAUUUCGGAUGGAGAUAUUCUCAAACCCAUAAUCCAUAUAAAAAAUGGAAAUUUUGUGUCUCAAUGUAAAUUGCAGAAUCUCUAAUUAUCCAUCACCCAUGUCUCCAUUCUUCUAAAAAAUCACUGAGGGUGCUGCAAAUCUUGCUGAGAAUGAUUGAGAUGCAUGAUCAGUGUCCUUAUAAUAGCAUCAUCAAAGUUCUUCAAGUAGGAGUUUGGAUCAUAUUGGACAUUAACCACACGUGAAGAGCACAAAAUUCUGCUAUUUUCUCUCUUGAUCUUCCUCCACGAUGUUCUCAAUUGUUUUAUCUUCAUUCUGGUCGCAUGUUUGAUAACACAAAAAAUAGGAUUGUAACCAAUUCUCUCAUAACUUGGCCAACUAGUGCUGUUGACUUUUAAGAUUCAUGGUGUUUGGGACAGAGAAUAUAGGAAUCAUAUAUAAUGGUUUAAGAGUACAAUGUGUUUG
Molecule: long non-coding RNA, 730 nt
Filed under: Lupinus angustifolius (narrow-leaved blue lupine)
Lineage: Eukaryota; Viridiplantae; Streptophyta; Magnoliopsida; Fabales; Fabaceae
Description: long non-coding RNA (LANG_LNC003334)
Source: RNAcentral